GACAGAGGUGCCAAGCGUUAGGCGGAAUCACUGGGCUUAAAGCGUGUGUAGGCGGACUUGUAAGUACCUUGUGAAAUCCCACGGCUCAACCGUGGAACUGCUUGGUAUACUGCUUGUCUUGAGCCACUUAGGGGCUACCGGAACAAAUGGUGGAGCGGUGAAAUGCGUAGAUAUCAUUUGGAACGCCAAUGGUGAAAACAGGUAGCUGGGAGUGUGCUGACGCUGAGACGCGAAAGCGUGGGGAGCAAACAGG
RNAcentral lists this ribosomal RNA (253 nucleotides) under uncultured bacterium. Its description in RNAcentral is "partial 16S ribosomal RNA". It matches the Rfam family "Bacterial small subunit ribosomal RNA", at positions 524 to 776 of the family's 1533-position model. The record is from RNAcentral.